GCGUGUAAUAGCACCUUGGCAGAUACCGGGAACAUACGUAGUAUAUUUGAAAUUUUUUUUCAGAUAAUUUUAUUUAUGAAAUGGCUAUCGUGGAGGAUUAUUGUAUUUUUUCCUACUACUGAAGACCAAGGAUUGCGGAUUAUACAAAAUAUAUGGUACAUUUACGAUAAUUAUGUUUUUAGGAGGUGAGGAGGUGUUCCGAACCUAAGCGUGAUGUGUCAUGAUGUCUGACAUGUAUCUGCACGUAUAACUUAAUAAUAGCGAAUGUCAGUGUUUAAAAAAUCGAAUAAUCGUAGAUUCUAAAUAAAAAAAGAACAGUCGGA
Molecule: long non-coding RNA, 323 nt
Organism: Athalia rosae (coleseed sawfly)
Lineage: Eukaryota; Metazoa; Arthropoda; Insecta; Hymenoptera; Athaliidae
Exons: 2
Source: RefSeq, a predicted model, not a curated record